CAGGUAAGAAGUUAUGAACUGCACUCUAUUGGGUCAGAUAUAAACCGAGUUUAGCUGGACUUAUUUUUCGUUUAUAUGGGCCGAUGAUGCUGGAAACCGAAGGCAGGAGCGUGAGGUGAACUGAAUUUCAGGUAAGAAGUUAUGAACUGCACUCUAUUGGGUCAGAUAUAAACCGAGUUUAGGUGUAGUUUAUUUAGCAGCAGUUCUCUUAUGUGUUGCUGAUAGCCGGCUAGCUAACUAUAGCCUAGCAUAGUUAGCUCGCGCCGCUAGCGACCCUUCGUGAAAAAGCACCCAGGCUUGGCUUAUAUUGAGGCGGGUGAAACUCGUGUCAGCACCCGGUCGCUCGCCGACAGUAUGUGUUUUAGC
This is a long non-coding RNA of Oreochromis aureus, 366 nucleotides long. Lineage: Eukaryota; Metazoa; Chordata; Actinopteri; Cichliformes; Cichlidae. The record is from Ensembl.